UGGGGAAUUUUGGACAAUGGGGGAAACCCUGAUCCAGCCAUUCCGCGUGAGUGAAGAAGGCCUUCGGGUUGUAAAGCUCUUUCAGCUGGAACGAAACGGUACGCUCUAACAUAGCGUGCUAAUGACGGUACCGGCAGAAGAAGCACCGGCUAACUACGUGCCAGCAGCCGCGGUAAUACGUAGGGUGCGAGCGUUAAUCGGAAUUACUGGGCGUAAAGCGUGCGCAGGCGGAUUAUUAAGCAAGACGUGAAAGCCCCGGGCUUAACCUGGGAAUGGCGUUUUGAACUGGUAGUCUAGAGUGUGUCAGAGGGGGGUGGAAUUCCACGUGUAGCAGUGAAAUGCGUAGAUAUGUGGAGGAACACCAAUGGCGAAGGCAGCCCCCUGGGAUAACACUGACGCUCAUGUACGAAAGCGUGGGUAGCAAACAGGAUUAGAUACCCUGGUAGUCCACGCCCUAAACGAUGUCAACUGGUUGUUGGGGGAGUGAAAUCCCUUAGUAACGAAGCUAACGCGUGAAGUUGACCGCCUGGGGAGUACGGUCGCAAGAUUA
Molecule: ribosomal RNA, 550 nt
Filed under: uncultured bacterium
Lineage: Bacteria
Description: bacterial SSU rRNA
Rfam family: Bacterial small subunit ribosomal RNA
Source: RNAcentral